Molecule: non-coding RNA, 108 nt
Organism: Canis lupus familiaris (dog)
Lineage: Eukaryota; Metazoa; Chordata; Mammalia; Carnivora; Canidae
Source: Rfam
GUGCUCCGCUCGGCAGCACAAAUCCUAAAAAUUGACACGAUGCUGAGAAGAUGAGCCCGGCCCCUGAGCGGGGAGGACACGCAAACUCCCGGGGCGUUCGCUAUUUUG